AGAAACUACAAAGGAAUUAGACGGGGCCCGGCACAAGCGGUGGAGCAUGUGGUUAAUUCGAAGCAACGCGAAGAACCUUACCAGGCCUUGACAUGCAGAGAACUUUCCAGAGAUGGAUUGGUGCCUUCGGGAACUCUGACACAGGUGCUGCAUGGCUGUCGUCAGCUCGUGUCGUGAGAUGUUGGGUUAAGUCCCGUAACGAGCGCAACCCUUGUCCUUAGUUGCCAGCAGUUCGGCUGGGCACUCUAAAGGGACUGCCGGUAUUAAACCGGAGGAAGGUGGGGAUGACGUCAAGUCCUCAUGGCCUUUAUGACCAGGGCUACACACGUACUACAAUGGCCGAUACAAAGGGCAGCGACACUGCGAGGUGAAGCCAAUCCCGUAAAAUCGGUCUCAGUCCGGAUCGGAGUCUGCAACUCGACUCCAUGAAGUUGGAAUCGCUAGUAAUCGUGGAUCAGCAUGCCACGGUGAAUACGUUCCCGGGCCUU
Molecule: ribosomal RNA, 488 nt
Filed under: uncultured Desulfobulbus sp.
Lineage: Bacteria; Pseudomonadati; Thermodesulfobacteriota; Desulfobulbia; Desulfobulbales; Desulfobulbaceae
Description: bacterial SSU rRNA
Rfam family: Bacterial small subunit ribosomal RNA
Source: RNAcentral